GACGAACGCUGGCGGCGUGCUUAACACAUGCAAGUCGAACGGAAAGGCCCUGCUUUUGUGGGGUGCUCGAGUGGCGAACGGGUGAGUAAAACGUGAGUAACCUGCCCUUGACUUUGGGAUAACUUCAGGAAACUGGGGCUAAUACCGGAUAGGAGCUCCUGCUGCAGGGUGGGGGUUGGAAAGUUUCGGCGGUUGGGGAUGGACUCGCGGCUUAUCAGCUUGUUGGUGGGGUAGUGGCUUACCAAGGCUUUGACGGGUAGCCGGCCUGAGAGGGUGACCGGCCACAUUGGGACUGAGAUACGGCCCAGACUCCUACGGGAGGCAGCAGUGGGGAAUAUUGCACAAUGGGCGGAAGCCUGAUGCAGCAACGCCGCGUGCGGGAUGACGGCCUUCGGGUUGUAAACCGCUUUCGCCUGUGACGAAGCGUGAGUGACGGUAAUGGGUAAAGAAGCACCGGCUAACUACGUG
This 468-nucleotide ribosomal RNA is filed under the name uncultured bacterium. Its description in RNAcentral is "partial 16S ribosomal RNA". It matches the Rfam family "Bacterial small subunit ribosomal RNA", at positions 28 to 507 of the family's 1533-position model. The record is from RNAcentral.